GACGAACGCUGGCGGCGUGCUUAACACAUGCAAGUCGAACGGAAAGGCCCUGCUUUUGUGGGGUGCUCGAGUGGCGAACGGGUGAGUAACACGUGAGUAACCUGCCCUUGACUUUGGGAUAACUUCAGGAAACUGGGGCUAAUACCGGAUAGGAGCUCCUGCUGCAUGGUGGGGGGUGGAAAGUUUCGGCGGGUGGGGAUGGACUCGCGGCUUAUCAGCUUGUUGGUGGGGUAGUGGCUUACCAAGGCUUUGACGGGUAGCCGGCCGGAGAGGGUGACCGGCCACAUUGGGACUGAGCUCCGGCCCAGACUCCUACGGGAGGCAGCAGUGGGGAAUAUUGCACAAUGGGCGGAAGCCUGAUGCAGCAACGCCGCGUGCGGGAUGACGGCCUUCGGGUUGUAACCCGCUUUCGCCUGUGACGAAGCGUGAGUGACGGUAAUGGGUAAAGAAGCACCGGCUAACUACGUG
RNAcentral lists this ribosomal RNA (468 nucleotides) under uncultured bacterium. Its description in RNAcentral is "partial 16S ribosomal RNA". It matches the Rfam family "Bacterial small subunit ribosomal RNA", at positions 28 to 507 of the family's 1533-position model. The record is from RNAcentral.